Hevea brasiliensis (rubber tree) is the source of this 324-nucleotide long non-coding RNA. RefSeq lists it as uncharacterized. NCBI's taxonomy places the organism in Eukaryota, Viridiplantae, Streptophyta, Magnoliopsida, Malpighiales, Euphorbiaceae. The record is from RefSeq and is a predicted model, not a curated record. The transcript is spliced from 2 exons.
AAUUCUAACAUUGGAAAAUAGUGGUUGUUACAAUUAGAAGGCCUGGAAGUCCUCCCUUGCUUGCUGCCAAGCCUUUCAUAACCUUUAUAUGGAGAAUGUAAGCACAAGUCUUCUAGCACUUCCUCAUCAAGUGUCAGUAUGAGAUACUAGGGACUUGUCUACUCAUCCUUAUUUCCAAGCUACUUGUCAACUCCAAGCUUCCUCCAAGGAUUUCUUUUUUUUUUUUUUUGCAUGUUGUAGUCAUUAUAUUUCAAUAUAAAAAAUUUAGCAUAUAUGUAAACACUUGGAUAUUUGUUGAACAAUAAGCUAUAUUUCAGCUUUGUA